This 237-nucleotide ribosomal RNA is filed under the name uncultured bacterium. RNAcentral describes it as "partial 16S ribosomal RNA". The record is from RNAcentral.
CGCUGACGAGUGGGGACGGGUGAGUAAUGUCUGGGAAACUGCUGAUGGAGGGGGAUAACUACUGGAAACGGUAGCUAUACCGUACGUCGCGACCAGAGGGGGACCUUCGGGCCUCUUGCCUCGGAUGUGCCCAUGGGAUAUAGCUAGUAANGUUGGGUGUAACNGUGCUCACCUAGUGCUGACGAUCCCGUAGCGUUGGGUUCUGAGNAGUGAUUGACCAUGCCGACACGUGGAACU